RNAcentral lists this ribosomal RNA (742 nucleotides) under uncultured Bacilli bacterium. RNAcentral describes it as "bacterial SSU rRNA". It matches the Rfam family "Bacterial small subunit ribosomal RNA", at positions 41 to 753 of the family's 1533-position model. The record is from RNAcentral. Lineage: Bacteria; Bacillati; Bacillota; Bacilli.
GGCGUGCCUAAUACAUGCAAGUCGAACGCUUCUUUUUCCACCGGCAGCUUGCUCCACCGGAAAAAGAAGAGUGGCGAACGGGUGAGUAACACGUGGGUAACCUGCCCAUCAGAAGGGGAUAACACUUGGAAACAGGUGCUAAUACCGUAUAACAAUCAAAACCGCAUGGUUUUGAUUUGAAAGGCGCUUUCGGGUGUCGCUGAUGGAUGGACCCGCGGUGCAUUAGCUAGUUGGUGAGGUAACGGCUCACCAAGGCCACGAUGCAUAGCCGACCUGAGAGGGUGAUCGGCCACAUUGGGACUGAGACACGGCCCAAACUCCUACGGGAGGCAGCAGUAGGGAAUCUUCGGCAAUGGACGAAAGUCUGACCGAGCAACGCCGCGUGAGUGAAGAAGGUUUUCGGAUCGUAAAACUCUGUUGUUAGAGAAGAACAAGGAUGAGAGUAACUGUUCAUCCCUUGACGGUAUCUAACCAGAAAGCCACGGCUAACUACGUGCCAGCAGCCGCGGUAAUACGUAGGUGGCAAGCGUUGUCCGGAUUUAUUGGGCGUAAAGCGAGCGCAGGCGGUUUCUUAAGUCUGAUGUGAAAGCCCCCGGCUCAACCGGGGAGGGUCAUUGGAAACUGGGAGACUUGAGUGCAGAAGAGGAGAGUGGAAUUCCAUGUGUAGCGGUGAAAUGCGUAGAUAUAUGGAGGAACACCAGUGGCGAAGGCGGCUCUCUGGUCUGUAACUGACGCUGAGGCU